AUUGAACGCUGGCGGCAUGCCUUACACAUGCAAGUCGAACGGUAACGGGCCUUCGUGUGCCGACGAGUGGCGGACGGGUGCGUAAUACAUCGGAACGUGCCCGAUCGUGGGGGAUAACGAGGCGAAAGCUUUGCUAAUACCGCAUACGAUCUACGGUUGAAAGCCGGGGACCGCAAGGCCUUGCGCGGACGGAGCGGCCGCUGGCAGAUUAGGUAGUUGGUCGGAUAAAAGCUUACCAAGCCGACGAUCUGUAGCUGGUCUGAGAGGAUGAUCAGCCACACUGGGACUGAGACACGGCCCAGACUCCUACGGGAGGCAGCAGUGGGGAAUUUUGGACAAUGGGCGCAAGCCUGAUCCAGCCAUGCCGCGUGCAGGAUGAAGGCCUUCGGGUUGUAAACUGCUGUUGUACGGAAAGAAAAGCCUUCUUUUAAUACAGGAGGGUCAUGACGGUACCGUAAGAAUAAGCACCGGCUAACUACGUG
RNAcentral lists this ribosomal RNA (482 nucleotides) under uncultured bacterium. RNAcentral describes it as "partial 16S ribosomal RNA". It matches the Rfam family "Bacterial small subunit ribosomal RNA", at positions 30 to 507 of the family's 1533-position model. The record is from RNAcentral.